UGGAGGUUAUAGGCACACAGUCAUACCUGG
This 30-nucleotide non-coding RNA is filed under the name Rattus norvegicus (Norway rat). The record is from RNAcentral. Lineage: Eukaryota; Metazoa; Chordata; Mammalia; Rodentia; Muridae.